AUGGGCACCGGGCUUCUUGGUUGGGCAGUGCUCUGUCUCCUUGACACAGUUCUGUCUGAAACUGGAGUCACCCAGUCCCCCAGAUAUGCAAUCAUACAGGAAAGUCAGACUGUUUCCUUUUGGUGUGACCCUGUUUCUGGACAUGAGAGACUUUACUGGUAUCAGCAACACAGAGCCCAGGGGCCCCGGCUUCUAGUUUACUUUCAGAAUGAGGUUGAUAUAGAUAAGUCACAGUUACCCAAGGAUCGUUUUUUUGCUGUGAGGACUGAAGGAGUCAACUCCACUCUCAAGAUCCAGUCUGCAAAGCAGAGUGACUCAGCCACCUAUCUCUGUGCCAGCAGUUUAGCCACAGCAAUGCAGAGACACAUUCCUGCUGUGCACAAAGCUGAUGGUUUUCUUCACACCAUUGUUCAGCAGAGACUUGUCACUACUUCUUAG
Molecule: non-coding RNA, 438 nt
Organism: Rattus norvegicus (Norway rat)
Lineage: Eukaryota; Metazoa; Chordata; Mammalia; Rodentia; Muridae
Source: the annotation of a RefSeq genome assembly